RNAcentral lists this ribosomal RNA (510 nucleotides) under uncultured bacterium. Its description in RNAcentral is "bacterial SSU rRNA". It matches the Rfam family "Bacterial small subunit ribosomal RNA", at positions 36 to 507 of the family's 1533-position model. The record is from RNAcentral.
CUGGCGGCGUGCCUAAUACAUGCAAGUCGAACGCACUCUCGUUUAGAGUUGAAGGAGCUUGCUCCUGAUUGAUAAACAUUUGAGUGAGUGGCGGACGGGUGAGUAACACGUGGGUAACCUGCCCUAAGUGGGGAUAACAUUUGGAACAGAUGCUAAUACCGCAUAAAACCUAACACCGCAUGGUGUAGGGUUGAAAGAUGGUUUCGGCUAUCACUUUAGGAUGGACCCGCGGUGCAUUAGUUAGUUGGUGAGGUAAAGGCUCACCAAGACCGUGAUGCAUAGCCGACCUGAGAGGGUAAUCGGCCACACUGGGACUGAGACACGGCCCAGACUCCUACGGGAGGCAGCAGUAGGGAAUCUUCCACAAUGGACGAAAGUCUGAUGGAGCAACGCCGCGUGAGUGAAGAAGGUUUUCGGAUCGUAAAACUCUGUUGUUGGAGAAGAAUGUAUCUGAUAGUAACUGAUCAGGUAGUGACGGUAUCCAACCAGAAAGCCACGGCUAACUACGUG